RNAcentral lists this ribosomal RNA (522 nucleotides) under uncultured Glomus. RNAcentral describes it as "SSU rRNA". It matches the Rfam family "Eukaryotic small subunit ribosomal RNA", at positions 569 to 1092 of the family's 1831-position model. The record is from RNAcentral. Lineage: Eukaryota; Fungi; Glomeromycota; Glomeromycetes; Glomerales; Glomeraceae.
AGCAGCCGCGGUAAUUCCAGCUCCAAUAGCGUAUAUUAAAGUUGUUGCAGUUAAAAAGCUCGUAGUUGAAUUUCGGGAUCAAUUAAUUGGUCGUGCCUCUGGUACGUACUGAUUUUAUUGGUUUCUCCCUUCUGAAGAACCAUGAUGUCAUUAAUUUGGUGUCGUGGAGAAUCAGGACUGUUACUUUGAAAAAAUUAGAGUGUUUAAAGCAAGCUAACGCUUGAAUACAUUAGCAUGGAAUAAUGAAAUAGGACGUUUGAUCCUAUUUUGUUGGUUUCUAGGAUCGACGUAAUGAUUAAUAGGGAUAGUUGGGGGCAUUAGUAUUCAAUUGUCAGAGGUGAAAUUCUUGGAUUUAUUGAAGACUAACUACUGCGAAAGCAUUUGCCAAGGAUGUUUUCAUUAAUCAAGAACGAAAGUUAGGGGAUCGAAGACGAUCAGAUACCGUCGUAGUCUUAACCAUAAACUAUGCCGACUAGGGAUCGGAUGAUGUUAAUUUUUUAAUGACUCAUUCGGCGCCUUACG